This 374-nucleotide ribosomal RNA is filed under the name uncultured organism. RNAcentral's name for it is "partial 16S ribosomal RNA". It matches the Rfam family "Bacterial small subunit ribosomal RNA", at positions 527 to 896 of the family's 1533-position model. The record is from RNAcentral.
GUAGGUGGCAAGCGUUGUCCGGAAUUAUUGGGCGUAAAGCGCGCGCAGGCGGUCCUUUAAGUCUGAUGUGAAAGCCCACGGCUCAACCGUGGAGGGUCAUUGGAAACUGGGGGACUUGAGUACAGAAGAGGAAAGCGGAAUUCCAAGUGUAGCGGUGAAAUGCGUAGAGAUUUGGAGGAACACCAGUGGCGAAGGCGGCUUUCCGGUCUGUAACUGACGCUGAGGCGCGAAAGCGUGGGGAGCAAGCAGGAUUAGAUACCCUGGUAGUCCACGCCGUAAACGAUGAGUGCUAAGUGUUAGGGGGUUUCCCGCCCCCCUUAGUGCUGCAGCUAACGCAUUAAGCACUCCGCCUGGGGAGUACGGCCGCAAGGCUG